RNAcentral lists this transfer RNA (72 nucleotides) under Brotaphodocola catenula. RNAcentral describes it as "tRNA-Gln". It matches the Rfam family "tRNA". Rfam says of the family: Transfer RNA (tRNA) molecules are approximately 80 nucleotides in length. Their secondary structure includes four short double-helical elements and three loops (D, anti-codon, and T loops). The record is from RNAcentral. Lineage: Bacteria; Bacillati; Bacillota; Clostridia; Lachnospirales; Lachnospiraceae.
UGGGCUAUCGCCAAGCGGUAAGGCACAGGACUUUGACUCCUGCACUCGCGGGUUCGAAUCCCGCUGGCCCAG